Molecule: ribosomal RNA, 402 nt
Filed under: bacterium
Lineage: Bacteria
Description: partial 16S ribosomal RNA
Rfam family: Bacterial small subunit ribosomal RNA
Source: RNAcentral
UGGGGAAUUUUGCGCAAUGGGGGAAACCCUGAUGCAGCGACGCCGCGUGAUUUAGAAGGCCUUCGGGUUGUAAAAAUCUUUUCUAUGGGAAGAAAAUGACAGUACCAUAGGAAUAAGGACCGGCUAAUUACGUGCCAGCAGCCGCGGUAAUACGUAAGGUCCGAGCGUUGUCCGGAAUCAUUGGGCGUAAAGGGUACGUAGGCGGGUAAGCAAGUUAGAAGUGAAAUCCUAUAGCUCAACUAUAGUAAGCUUUUAAAACUGCUCAUCUUGAGGUAUGGAAGGGAAAGUGGAAUUCCUAGUGUAGCGGUGAAAUGCGCAGAUAUUAGGAGGAAUACCGGUGGCGAAGGCGACUUUCUGGCCAUAACCUGACGCUGAGGUACGAAAGCGUGGGUAGCAAACAGG